This 468-nucleotide ribosomal RNA is filed under the name uncultured bacterium. RNAcentral's name for it is "partial 16S ribosomal RNA". It matches the Rfam family "Bacterial small subunit ribosomal RNA", at positions 28 to 507 of the family's 1533-position model. The record is from RNAcentral.
GACGAACGCUGGCGGCGUGCUUAACACAUGCAAGUCGAACGGAAAGGCCCUGCUUUUGUGGGGUGCUCGAGUGGCGAACGGGUGAGUAACACGUGAGUAACCUGCCCUUGACUUUGGGAUAACUUCAGGAAACUGGGGCUAAUACCGGAUAGGAGCUCCUGCUGCAUGGGGGGGGUUGGAAAGUUUCGGCGGUUGGGGAUGGACUCGCGGCUUAUCAGCUUGUUGGUGGGGUAGUGGCUUACCAAGGCUUUGACGGGUAGCCGGCCUGAGAGGGUGACCGGCCACAUUGGGACUGAGAUACGGCCCAGACUCCUACGGGAGGCAGCAGUGGGGAGUAUUGCACAAUGGGCGGAAGCCUGAUGCAGCAACGCCGCGUGCGGGAUGACGGCCUUCGGGUUGUAAACCGCUUUCGCCUGUGACGAAGCGUGAGUGACGGUAAUGGGUAAAGAAGCACCGGCUAACUACGUG